GUGGGUGUAGCUCAGUUGGUUAGAGCACAUGGUUGUGGUCCAUGGGGUCGAGGGUUCGAAUCCCUUCACCCACCCCA
Molecule: transfer RNA, 77 nt
Filed under: Candidatus Omnitrophota bacterium
Lineage: Bacteria; Pseudomonadati; Candidatus Omnitrophota
Description: tRNA-His
Rfam family: tRNA
About the family: Transfer RNA (tRNA) molecules are approximately 80 nucleotides in length. Their secondary structure includes four short double-helical elements and three loops (D, anti-codon, and T loops).
Source: RNAcentral